Long non-coding RNA from Cyprinus carpio (common carp), 748 nucleotides. RefSeq lists it as uncharacterized. The record is from RefSeq and is a predicted model, not a curated record. Lineage: Eukaryota; Metazoa; Chordata; Actinopteri; Cypriniformes; Cyprinidae.
GAGCAUUUCUUUUUAGUCUUUUACUAGCGCAGGCGCUCAUAAGCUCAAACCUUCACCUCACGUGUGAGACUGCAGCGAACGCGGCUUUGUGCGAAACCUAAGUUACAAAAUAAAUAUAAUAAACGAUAUAGUUUUAAUUUUUGAUCGAAUUGUUGUGUGGGUCUACUCUAGAGUUUUUACUCUGCAGAAAACUGACGAGCAACCCAACCCACCAACAGACGAGGAAGAUGAGGAUGAUAAUCACAGUGGUCCAGCAUAUACAAAGAGAGUGAUGCUAAAUAUAAGCAGACUAUACAGAUGCUCAUCUCUGCCAAAACACACGUGACUACAACACAAACACAGCAUCACAGUUCAUCACUUUACUUGUAACCAACAGAAGCUGAAGGAAUGGCAAGGUGCUUUGGGGACAAUGAGAAAAACUCAAAAGAAGAUACUUUGAAGAAUGCUGGUAAUCAAACCCAACAAGUUUGUCAGGUGCAGAAAUAAAAGCUCCCAAACAAAGAUGUCACCGGAUUAAGAUGUGGAAAGACAUGUUACACAACAACAACCAUAAUUCCUGAGUAAUUUGAAAAUGGGCAACAACCAAGGAAAACUCUGCCAUUUACUAAUGGGUUAUUCAAAACACAAAGUUUUGGUGUAUCUUUACAAUAAGGUAUCAUUAGUUAACAUUAGUAAAUGUUGAAAUUAACAUUAAAUAAUGAGCAAUACAUUUGUUACAAUUUGCAUUAAUCUUUGAUACUGUUAAAAA